RNAcentral lists this ribosomal RNA (500 nucleotides) under uncultured bacterium. Its description in RNAcentral is "partial 16S ribosomal RNA". It matches the Rfam family "Bacterial small subunit ribosomal RNA", at positions 30 to 523 of the family's 1533-position model. The record is from RNAcentral.
AUUGAACGCUGGCGGAAUGCUUUACACAUGCAAGUCGAACGGCAGCACGGACUUCGGUCUGGUGGCGAGUGGCGAACGGGUGAGUAAUGUAUCGGAACGUGCCCAGUCGUGGGGGAUAACGUAGUGAAAAUUACGCUAAUACCGCAUACGAUCUAUGGAUGAAAGCGGGGGAUCGCAAGACCUCGCGCGAUUGGAGCGGCCGAUAUCAGAUUAGGUAGUUGGUGUGGUAAAGGCCCACCAAGCCAACGAUCUGUAGCUGGUCUGAGAGGACGACCAGCCACACUGGAACUGGUACACGUUCCAGACUCGUACGGUAGGAAGCAGUGGGGAAUUUUGGACAAUGGGCGAAAGCCUGAUCCAGCCAUUCCGCGUGCAUGAUGAAGGCCCUCGGGUUGUAAACUGCUUUUGUACAGAACGAAAAGGUUUCUAAUAAUACUAGGAGCUCAUGACGGUACUGUAAGAAUAAGCACCGGCUAACUACGUGCCAGCAGCCGCCGUAA